AGAGUUUGAUCCUGGCUCAGAACGAACGUUGGCGGCGUGGAUUAGGCAUGCAAGUCGAACGCGAAAGCUUCCUUCGGGAAGUGAGUAGAGUGGCGAACGGGAGAGUAACGCGUGGAAAACCUACCAUCGAGUGGGGGAUAACACUUCUAACGGAGUGCUAAUACCGCAUGAAUCGGGAAUGUCGCAUGACUUCCUGGGAAAGCGGGCCUCUACUUGUAAGCUCGUGCUCGAUGAUGGUUCCGCGUCCCAUUAGCUUGUUGGUGGGGUAAUGGCCUACCAAGGCGACGAUGGGUAGCCGGCCUGAGAGGGUGUCCGGCCACACUGGGACUGAGAUACGGCCCAGACUCCUACGGGAGGCAGCAGUCGAGAAGCUUCGGCAAUGGGCGAAAGCCUGACCGAGCGAUGCCGCGUGAGUGAAGAAGGCCCUAUGGGUUGUAAAGCUCUGUCAGAUUGGGAAGAAAAUCCUGCGGUUAAUACCCGUGGGACUUGACGGUACCAUCAGAGGAAGCACCGGCUAACUCCGUGCCAGCAGCCGCGGUAAUACGGAGGGUGCAAGCGUUGUUCGGAUUCACUGGGUAUAAAGGGUGCGCAGGCGGUCUGAUAAGUCAGAGGUGAAAUAUGUCGGCUCAACCGGCAAACGGCCUCUGAAACUGUCAGACUUGAGUUCGAGAGAGGUAGGUGGAAUUCCAGGUGUAGCGGUGAAAUGCGUAAAUAUCUGGAGGAACACCAGUGGCGAAGGCGGCCUACUGGCUCGGAACUGACGCUCAGGCACGAAAGCUAGGGGAGCGAACGGGAUUAGAUCCCCCGGUAGUCCUAGCCGUAAACGAUGGGUACUAGGUGUUGGAAGGUUCUACCCCUUCAGCGCCGCCGCUAACGCAUUAAGUAGACCACCUGGGGAGUACGAUCGCAAGGUUGAAACUCAAAGGAAUUGACGGGGGCCCGCACAAGCGGUGGAGCAUGUGGUUUAAUUCGAUGCAACGCGAAGAACCUUACCGGGACUUGACAUCCAAGGGACAGGCGUAGAGAUACGUCCUCCUUCGGGUCCUUGGACAGGUGCUGCAUGGCUGUCGUCAGCUCGUGUCGUGAAAUGUUGGGUUAAGUCCCGCAACGAGCGCAACCCCUGUCCUUAGUUGCCAGCACGUAAUGGUGGGAACUCUAGGGAGACUGCCGGUGACAAACCGGAGGAAGGUGGGGAUGACGUCAAGUCAUCAUGGCCCUUACGUCCCGGGCUACACACGUGCUACAAUGGCUUGUACAAAGGGUUGCGAACCCGCGAGGGGGAGCCAAUCCCAAAAAGCAAGCCUCAGUUCGGAUUGUAGUCUGCAACUCGACUACAUGAAGUCGGAAUCGCUAGUAAUCGUGGAUCAGCAUGCCACGGUGAAUCCGUUCCCGGGCCUUGUACACACCGCCCGUCAAGUCAGCCGAAUUGGUUGCACCCGAAGUCGUUGAGCUAACCCGUAAGGGAAGCAGGCGCCGAAGGUGUGGCUGGUGAGGGGGACUAAGUCGUAACAAGGUAGCCGUA
This 1522-nucleotide ribosomal RNA is filed under the name uncultured prokaryote. Its description in RNAcentral is "partial 16S ribosomal RNA". It matches the Rfam family "Bacterial small subunit ribosomal RNA". The record is from RNAcentral.